RNAcentral lists this small RNA (125 nucleotides) under Marmota monax (woodchuck). The record is from RNAcentral. Lineage: Eukaryota; Metazoa; Chordata; Mammalia; Rodentia; Sciuridae.
GCCAGGUGUGGUGGUGCAUGCCUGUAAUCCCAGCAGCUCAGAGGCUGAGGCAGGAGGAUCAUGAGUUCAAAGCUAGCCCCAGCAAUUAGUGAGGCGCUAAGCAACUUCGUGAGACCCUGUCUCUA